AGCAGCCGCGGUAAUUCCAGCUCCAAUAGCGUAUAUUAAAGUUGUUGCAGUUAAAAAGCUCGUAGUUGAAUUUCGGAAUCAAUGGAUCGGUCAUGCCACUCGGUGUGUACUGGUUUGAUUGGUUCUCACCUUCUAAGGAACCGUGAUGUCAUUAAUUUGGUGUCGCGGGGAAUUAGGACUGUUACCUUGAAAAAAUUAGAGUGUUUAAAGCAAGCUCACGCUUGAAUACAUUAGCAUGGAAUAAUGAAAUAGGACAUUGUAUUCUAUUUUGUUGGUUUCUAGGAUCGAUGUAAUGAUUAAUAGGGAUAGUUGGGGGCAUUAGUAUUCAAUUGUCAGAGGUGAAAUUCUUGGAUUUAUUGAAGACUAACUACUGCGAAAGCAUUUGCCAAGGAUGUUUUCAUUAAUCAAGAACGAAAGUUAGGGGAUCGAAGACGAUCAGAUACCGUCGUAGUCUUAACCAUAAACUAUGCCGACUAGGGAUCGGAUGAUGUUGAUUUUUAAUGACU
Molecule: ribosomal RNA, 506 nt
Filed under: uncultured Glomus
Lineage: Eukaryota; Fungi; Glomeromycota; Glomeromycetes; Glomerales; Glomeraceae
Description: SSU rRNA
Rfam family: Eukaryotic small subunit ribosomal RNA
Source: RNAcentral